GACGAACGCUGGCGGCGUGCCUAAUACAUGCAAGUCGAGCGGACGAUUCGAAAGCUUGCUUUUGAAUCGUUAGCGGCGGACGGGUGAGUAACACGUGGGCAACCUGCCCUGUAGACGGGGAUAACACCGAGAAAUCGGUGCUAAUACCGGAUAACACGAAAUGUCGCAUGACGUUUCGUUGAAAGGCGGCGCAAGCUGCCGCUACAGGAUGGGCCCGCGGCGCAUUAGCUAGUUGGUGAGGUAACGGCUCACCAAGGCGACGAUGCGUAGCCGACCUGAGAGGGUGAUCGGCCACACUGGGACUGAGACACGGCCCAGACUCCUACGGGAGACAGCAGUAGGGAAUCUUCCGCAAUGGACGAAAGUCUGACGGAGCAACGCCGCGUGAGCGAAGAAGGCCUUCGGGUCGUAAAGCUCUGUUGUUAGGGAAGAACAAGUAACGUAGUAACUGACGUUACUAUGACGGUACCUAACGAGAAAGCCACGGCUAACUACGUG
This 498-nucleotide ribosomal RNA is filed under the name uncultured bacterium. RNAcentral's name for it is "partial 16S ribosomal RNA". It matches the Rfam family "Bacterial small subunit ribosomal RNA", at positions 28 to 507 of the family's 1533-position model. The record is from RNAcentral.